CGUUUGUAUUUCGCGUAGUAAAAAAGACUCGUUACGACGUCAUAAAACUUCUCACGACACUAGUGAUGUCACACGAGCUUACUAAUUAGUGAAAAUGCUGCAAUUCGAUUGGUUUAAACAUAAAUUUCGUAAUUUAUUUUUUAAGCGUAAACGUCAGUGUAGCGUUACGUAGUCUAACGUAGAAUGUUUAAAGAAAUGAAUGAAUAUUUAUUAAAAGUUGUGUAGAUUUGAUUCGAUAACGUUAAAUUUUUCCAGAUUUGAAUGCACCAGCCAGAGAAGAUACUAUCCUGUUACAUCAGCAAAUGGUAAGGUUACUUCCCGUUAUCUGAACCCAAAAUGCAUCUAACGAGGUAUCCAGCAGUAUUUUGUUUUGGUAUUAUUAUAUAGAAGAAUACCCUAGUCGGCGCAACUCGGACUGGCCAGCAACGUUUCCAAGUCGUUUCUUCCUCGAUAGGGAGAGGGACGUUCGUUAAUUUUCUGCGGGAGUCUCUCCAGUAAACCAAUCGACAAAAAUGAUGCCUCACUUGAGCCUAAUGACAAGUAACCAACAUCAGGCAGAACUAAACAAGAAUAACUACCUGCCAUUGUCAAAACAAUUGUUACCUGGUAUUACAAUUAAAUUAUGGUUUUCCUAAACAAAUAAAAAGCAAUAAAUGUUUGAUAAAAGAUAAAAAUUUGUUGUUUAAUUCAGAAUAAAACUCCAGAAUUUGAAAAUUGAGUUCAUUUGUUAGUAUACGUUAAAUUCUUUAUUAUAUCAUUAAAGACAUAGAGGCAAAAGAAUUAGUAAAUGUUUGUAGUUAGAGAAAUUAUCGGUUUGAUUUGUGAUACGAGAAGGUUCCUUUCUGUGAAAAUGACCAAUUAUAAUUAAAUGAGCAAUUAUUUAUUGUGACAUCAUCACAAUAAAUAAUUGCUCGUUUUCGACAUCGUCACAAUGCCAUGUUGCAAUUUUUAAUCAUAUUUUUAAAAUUUAUUUAAUUUAAAAUAUAUUCUCUCCACUUCAAAUUAGUAAUGUCUUGUCCCCUGUAAAUAAUACUUUUCCUGUUCACAACAGAGUCAUGCUAUCAUCUAUAUAAUUCCUUACAGGGGAAAAUUUUUGAAUUGAA
Molecule: long non-coding RNA, 1103 nt
Organism: Centruroides sculpturatus (bark scorpion)
Lineage: Eukaryota; Metazoa; Arthropoda; Arachnida; Scorpiones; Buthidae
Exons: 4
Source: RefSeq, a predicted model, not a curated record